GCGUGAGUGAUGAAGGCCUUAGGGUUGUAAAGCUCUUUUACCCGGGAUGAUAAUGACAGUACCGGGAGAAUAAGCUCCGGCUAACUCCGUGCCAGCAGCCGCGGUAAUACGGAGGGAGCUAGCGUUGUUCGGAAUUACUGGGCGUAAAGCGCGCGUAGGCGGUUUCUUAAGUCAGAGGUGAAAGCCUGGAGCUCAACUCCAGAACUGCCUUUGAAACUGGGCAACUUGAAUCUUGGAGAGGUCAGUGGAAUUCCGAGUGUAGAGGUGAAAUUCGU
This 275-nucleotide ribosomal RNA is filed under the name uncultured bacterium. RNAcentral's name for it is "partial 16S ribosomal RNA". It matches the Rfam family "Bacterial small subunit ribosomal RNA", at positions 399 to 691 of the family's 1533-position model. The record is from RNAcentral.